AUUGAACGCUGGCGGCAUGCCUUACACAUGCAAGUCGAACGGUAACAGGUCUUCGGAUGCUGACGAGUGGCGAACGGGUGAGUAAUACAUCGGAACGUGCCCGAUCGUGAGGGAUAACGAAGCGAAAGCUUUGCUAAUACCGCAUACGAUCUACGGAUGAAAGCAGGGGACCGCAAGGCCUUGCGCGAACGGAGCGGCCGAUGGCAGAUUAGGUAGUUGGUGGGAUAAAAGCUUACCAAGCCGACGAUCUGUAGCUGGUCUGAGAGGACGACCAGCCACACUGGGACUGAGACACGGCCCAGACUCCUACGGGAGGCAGCAGUGGGGAAUUUUGGCCAAUGGGCGAAAGCCUGAUCCAGCCAUGCCGCGUGCAGGAUGAAGGCCUUCGGGUUGUAAACUGCUUUUGUACGGAACGAAAAGACUCUGGUUAAUACCUGGGGUCCAUGACGGUACCGUAAGAAUAAGCACCGGCUAACUACGUGCCAGCCGCCGCGGUAA
This 498-nucleotide ribosomal RNA is filed under the name uncultured bacterium. RNAcentral describes it as "partial 16S ribosomal RNA". It matches the Rfam family "Bacterial small subunit ribosomal RNA", at positions 30 to 523 of the family's 1533-position model. The record is from RNAcentral.